RNAcentral lists this ribosomal RNA (425 nucleotides) under uncultured bacterium. RNAcentral's name for it is "partial 16S ribosomal RNA". It matches the Rfam family "Bacterial small subunit ribosomal RNA", at positions 354 to 796 of the family's 1533-position model. The record is from RNAcentral.
GUGGGGAAUCUUGCGCAAUGGGCGAAAGCCUUACGCAGCCAUGCCGCGUGAAUGAUGAAGGUCUUAGGAUUGUAAAAUUCUUUCACCGGGGACGAUAAUGACGGUACCCGGAGAAGAAGCCCCGGCUAACUUCGUGCCAGCAGCCGCGGUAAUACGAAGGGGGCUAGCGUUGCUCGGAAUUACUGGGCGUAAAGGGCGCGUAGGCGGACAUUUAAGUCAGGGGUGAAAUCCCAGAGCUCAACUCUGGAACUGCCUUUGAUACUGGGUGUCUUGAGUGUGAGAGAGGUAUGUGGAACUCCGAGUGUAGAGGUGAAAUUCGUAGAUAUUCGGAAGAACACCAGUGGCGAAGGCGACAUACUGGCUCAUUACUGACGCUGAGGCGCGAAAGCGUGGGGAGCAAACAGGAUUAGAAACCCUUGUAGUCC